Molecule: unclassified non-coding RNA, 362 nt
Filed under: Hevea brasiliensis (rubber tree)
Lineage: Eukaryota; Viridiplantae; Streptophyta; Magnoliopsida; Malpighiales; Euphorbiaceae
Source: RNAcentral
CCCGAAUAAAUCGAAUCCGCAAUGGAAGACAAAGUGUCUGAAGGCCGCGUCUUGUAGUGGGUGGAAACGGAUUUGCGGAUUCCAUCAGCGCAGGAGCAUACUAUUGGGAUCUUUACGAAAAGCUGCGAAGGAAGGAUAUGGUUUUCUAUAUNGUAAGAGAUGUCAAUGGAAUUAGCUGUGAGGAAAGCUAUGGGAUCAAUUUGGAAGAGGGAAGCUACUUCUGAGACUUUGAGGUCUGUGUAGAGAGUAUAGCCAAGAAGAGCAUUACAGGAGUCGUUGUUGGAGCAUGGUUCGAUUGUGGAUUUGGAGGUAACAAUAGCUACUACAUUGACGAAAAUCAAAAGAAGGACGAUGGGUUUUGG